UACGGAGGGUGCGAGCGUUGUCCGGAAUCACUGGGCGUAAAGGGCGCGUAGGCGGCCUGCUAAGUCGAACGUGAAAUCCCUGGGCUCAACCCAGGAACUGCGUCCGAUACUGGUUGGCUUGAAUCCGGGAGAGGGAUGUGGAAUUCCAGGUGUAGCGGUGAAAUGCGUAGAUAUCUGGAGGAACACCGGUGGCGAAGGCGACAUCCUGGACCGGUAUUGACGCUGAGGCGCGAAGGCCAGGGGAGCAAACGGG
This 253-nucleotide ribosomal RNA is filed under the name uncultured bacterium. RNAcentral's name for it is "partial 16S ribosomal RNA". It matches the Rfam family "Bacterial small subunit ribosomal RNA", at positions 524 to 776 of the family's 1533-position model. The record is from RNAcentral.